Nannospalax galili (Upper Galilee mountains blind mole rat) is the source of this 1355-nucleotide RNA transcript. It is a transcript of the gene named serine/threonine-protein phosphatase 2A 55 kDa regulatory subunit B alpha isoform pseudogene, with no coding region annotated. The record is from RefSeq and is a predicted model, not a curated record. The transcript has a single exon. Lineage: Eukaryota; Metazoa; Chordata; Mammalia; Rodentia; Spalacidae.
GGGUCACCAUUUGCAGCGCAACAUGGCAGGAGCUGAAGGAGAGAAUAGUAUUCAGUGGCGUUUUCCUCAAGUGAAAGGAGCAGUAGAUGAUGAUGUAGCAGACACCGAUAUAAUUUCUACAGUAGAAUUUAACCAUUCUGGAGAAUUGCUAGCAACAGGGGACAAAGGCGGGAGAGUCGUCAUCUUUCAGCACGCACAGGAGAACAAAAUCCAGUGUCAUAGCAGAGGAGAAUAUGUUUACAUCACCUUCCAGAGCCAUGAACCAGAAGUUGACUACUUGAAAAGUUUAGAAAUAGAAGAGAUCAACAGAAUUAGUGGUUACCCCAGAAAAAUGCUGCUCAGUUUUUAUUGUCUACCAAUGGUAAAACAAUAAAAUUAUGGAAAAUCAGUGAAAGGGUCAAAAGACCAGAAGGAUAUAACUUUAAAAAGGAAGAUGGAAGGUACAGAGACCCGACUACAGUCACUACACUAAGAGUGCCAGUCUUCAGGCCCAUGGAUCUUACGGUGGAGGCCAGUCCCCGAAGAAUAUUUGCCAAUGAACAUACAUACCACAUCAACUCAAUUUCCAUCAAUAGUGACUAUGAAACAUACUUAUCAGCUGAUGAUUUGCAGAUUAAUCUUUGACAUCUGGAGAUUAUAGACAGACGUUUUAAUAUUGUGGGUAUUAAGCCUGUCAAUAUGGAACUCACAGAGGUGAUCACAGAAGUGGAAUUUCAUCCCAACAGCUGUAACACAUUUGUAUACAGCAGCAGUAAAGGAACUAUUCAGCUGUGUGACAUGAAAGCAUCCACCUUCUGUGACAGGCAUGCUAAACUGUUUGAAGAGCCCAAAGAUUCCAGUGACAGGUAUUUUUUUCUGAAGUCAUCUCCUCUAUUUCUGACGUAAAAUUCAGCCAUAGUGGUCGCUAUAUGAUGACUAGAGGCCAUUUAUCCGUCAAAAUUUGGGGCCUGAAUAUGGAAAACAGGCCUAUGGAAACAUACCAGGUACAUGAACAUCUCAGAAGUAAGCUGUGCUCACUGUAUGAAAACUACUACGUAUUUGACAACUUUGAAUGUUGUUGGAAUGGAUCUGAGAGUACGGUCAUGACUGGAUCCUACAAUAAUUUUUUCAGAAUGUUCAACAGGAACACAAAGCAAGAUAUAACCCUAGAAGCAUAACGAGAAAACAAUAAGCCUCGUACAGUUUUGAAGCCACACAAGGUCUGUGCAAGUGGCAAGUGAAAGAAAAAUGAAGUAAGUGUUGACAGCCUUGACUUCAACAAGAAGAUUCUUCACACAACCUGGCACCCCAAGGAGAAUAUCAUUGCUGUAGCUGCCACAGACAAUCUGUAUAUAUUUCAAGACAAAGGGAAUUAG